CAUCCCACCCUCCUCCCCUCCCUAACCUCACCCUCACCUCCCAAACUUCCAUCAACGGCGUCCCCGUCACCCGCCCAAACCUCUUCGUCAGCGGGCCCACGCCGUCCACGGCGUCGCCGCCCUUUUCCCGCGUCAGUCCAUUGCCUCCGACGGAACCCAACUGGGAUCGCGCUGUCAGGGCCCUAGGAUCGAAGGGCUACGUCCCCUUCGCCAUCGGUCUCAACGCGAUUCUUGAUUCUCUGAAAGAAUCGUCGCCGGAGCAGGUUACGGUGUUCGCUCCGCGGGACAGCGGAUUCGACUACGUGACGUGUGAGGCGUACUUGCUGGAGGGGGCGGUGAGACGACACGUGGCGGUGGGGAGGUUUCUUUACGGAGAGCUGAUGGGGAUGGGGACCGGCGAGGGGGUGAGGACUGUGGCGGGGACCGUUGGAUGCUUAUGAUCACAGGCGGUGAGCGGAGCGGGAGCGCGGUGAAUGUUAACGGGGUCGAGGUUGUUGAGCCGGAGAUUUACGUCGGUGACGGGAUCGUCUUGCACGGGAUCGCACACGAUUUUGGAGUUGAAUUGCUCGGAUUCUGAUCGAGUCCUUGUGGAUGUAAAUACUGGAAGUUUGUGGUGGGGUUUUGAAACGUUGGCUUCUGAUUUUUUGCAAAUUAAGCAUGGAAGUUCCGGUUCUUUUUUGAUAAAUUCGUGAUAGGAUCAUCAGCCAGAACGAGAGCACGAGAAGAACCUUGAGUGGCUUUUCGUGUAAAUUUUUGACUGGAUCGUUAGCUCGGUGAUGUCUAGUUAAAAAAGAACUGUUAAUAAAAAAAAAAUUCACUUUCAGCGGUUAAAAGCUUCGUUUCCGCAUUUGCUUCUUCAGCGAAAAUCUUUGGUAAUUUUCCUUCUUUUUCAUUUUUCUGCUCCACCAAGAUGUUGGCAAUGGUCGAGUCGCCAUUUUUCUACCUAUCAGCGAAAGAAAAGGAUUUAGAGCUUGGUUUCCGCACCAGGCCAAUAAAAGGCCUUGUUUGGCCUAAUAAGAAAAAAAAAAACCCAGUUCUCAUUAAUUGUGGUCUACGACCAGAAUUUGCACGGAUGAACGACGCCCAUUUCUCAUCCUUAUAUUGCAGAGUGUGCCCAAAAUAUGAUGAGCCUCGAAGAAUCAAAGCGAGGGAGGAACUUUCGUAGUUCCAGAGUCUAGAAGAAUCGUUUGCUCGUAGAAGAAUAUACCAGUGAUGAUCAGUCACUCUUCACACGAAUCUCGGCGACAUCAAGCGUGAGAUCGCCUGCGACGAGAUCCCCGAAACCGCCAAGGUAUGUAGGACGACUUAACCAGCCAAGUCAUCAACAACACUCUGUCUCAAAAACAGAGGGAUAGAAACAGACCAAAAAUAAGAGGACAAACAGACAACCAACUUAGCUAGAGCAUGGGCAACACCAUUAUCAGUGUGCCUUACAUAGAAAACUUCAGAGCAGCCAAUAGCAGACAAACCAGCACGAACUUCAUCUGCAAUAGGAGCCAUGGAAGCAAAAGGAGAAUGAGAGUCCACCAAUGAGACAACCCUUAGGGCUUGUUUGGAUUGAGGGGAAUGAGGGUGAAGGGAAGUUAGGGGAACCAUUCACCUCCA
Molecule: long non-coding RNA, 1605 nt
Organism: Asparagus officinalis (garden asparagus)
Lineage: Eukaryota; Viridiplantae; Streptophyta; Magnoliopsida; Asparagales; Asparagaceae
Exons: 3
Source: RefSeq, a predicted model, not a curated record